GAUGAAGAACGUAGCGAAAUGCAAUAAGUAGUGUGAAUUGCAGAAUUCAGUGAAUCAUCGAAUCUUUGAACGCACAUUGCGCCCCUUGGUAUUCCAUGGGGCAUGCCUGUUCGAGCGUCAUUUGUACCUUCAAGCUUUGCUUGGUGUUGGGUGUUUGUCUCGCCUUUGCGUGUAGACUCGCCUUAAAAUAAUUGGCAGCCGGCGUAUUGAUUUCGGAGCGCAGUACAUCUCGCGCUUUGCACUCAUAACGACAGCGUCCAAAAGUACAUUUUACACUCUUGACCUCGGAUCAGGUAGGGAUACCCGCUGAACUUAAGCAUAUCAAUAAGCAGAGGA
RNAcentral lists this unclassified non-coding RNA (336 nucleotides) under soil metagenome. Its description in RNAcentral is "partial contains 5.8S ribosomal RNA, internal transcribed spacer 2, and large subunit ribosomal RNA". The stretch from base 1 to 120 matches the Rfam family "5.8S ribosomal RNA", at positions 35 to 154 of the family's 154-position model. The record is from RNAcentral.